RNAcentral lists this long non-coding RNA (263 nucleotides) under Elaeis guineensis (African oil palm). RNAcentral's name for it is "long non-coding RNA (EGUI_LNC040665)". Lineage: Eukaryota; Viridiplantae; Streptophyta; Magnoliopsida; Arecales; Arecaceae. The record is from RNAcentral.
UCCUGGUUUCUUUCACAUGUAGUUUUUUCAUCUGGACUCCGUUUGGACUAUUUUUGGGCUUGUUAGACUUCGUUCAUCAUCCUGGAUCUCACUGUAGGCUCUUUGUAGGUCGAAUCUCGAAACAUCAAAUCUUAAUAUAGAGUUGAUUGGGUAUCAAAAAUAUUGAGUAGAUAAACCUAGCCCUUCAUGCCAAAUGGGCAUGGAAGUAUACUGUGAGUUCCAAUUCUCCUUGGUAGAAGCAAGUCUAGCAUGCUUACUAUUUG